UUGCACGCUGGCGGCAGGCCUAACACAUGCAAGUCGAGCGGUAGAGAGAAGCUUGCUUCUCUUGAGAGCGGCGGACGGGUGAGUAAUGCCUAGGAAUCUGCCUGGUAGUGGGGGAUAACGUUCGGAAACGGACGCUAAUACCGCAUACGUCCUACGGGAGAAAGCAGGGGACCUUCGGGCCUUGCGCUAUCAGAUGAGCCUAGGUCGGAUUAGCUAGUUGGUGGGGUAAUGGCUCACCAAGGCGACGAUCCGUAACUGGUCUGAGAGGAUGAUCAGUCACACUGGAACUGAGACACGGUCCAGACUCCUACGGGAGGCAGCAGUGGGGAAUAUUGGACAAUGGGCGAAAGCCUGAUCCAGCCAUGCCGCGUGUGUGAAGAAGGUCUUCGGAUUGUAAAGCACUUUAAGUUGGGAGGAAGGGCAGUAAAUUAAUACUUUGCUGUUUUGACGUUACCGACAGAAUAAGCACCGGCUAACUCUGUG
Molecule: ribosomal RNA, 483 nt
Filed under: uncultured bacterium
Lineage: Bacteria
Description: partial 16S ribosomal RNA
Rfam family: Bacterial small subunit ribosomal RNA
Source: RNAcentral